AUUCUAAUAAGGUGGCGCCUGUGAGGGUAAGAUAUAUAGAAUAAAUAUAUGAAAUAAAUUAAAUAGAUAUAUAAAAUAACUUAAAAUAGUCAAUUUAUUCUAUAUAUUUUACCCUCACAGGCGCUACCUUAUUAGAAU
This is a non-coding RNA of Pelobates cultripes (western spadefoot toad), 138 nucleotides long. The record is from the annotation of a GenBank genome assembly. Lineage: Eukaryota; Metazoa; Chordata; Amphibia; Anura; Pelobatidae.